This 423-nucleotide ribosomal RNA is filed under the name uncultured bacterium. RNAcentral describes it as "partial 16S ribosomal RNA". It matches the Rfam family "Bacterial small subunit ribosomal RNA", at positions 360 to 775 of the family's 1533-position model. The record is from RNAcentral.
AAUCUUCCACAAUGGACGCAAGUCUGAUGGAGCAACGCCGCGUGAGUGAAGAAGGAUUUCGGUUCGUAAAACUCUGUUGUAAGGGAAGAACAAGUACAGUAGUAACUGGCUGUACCUUGACGGUACCUUAUUAGAAAGCCACGGCUAACUCCGUGCCAGCAGCCGCGGUAAUACGUAGGUGGCAAGCGUUUUCCGGAAUUAUUGGGCGUAAAGCGGGCGGAGGCGUUCCUUUAAGUCUGAUGUGAAAGCCCACGGCUCAACUGUGGAGGGUCAUUGGAAACUGGGGGACUUGAGUGCAGAAGAGGAAAGUGGAAUUCCAAGUGUGGCGGUGAAAUGCGUAGAGAUUUGGAGGAACACCAGUGGCGAAGGCGACUUUCUGGUCUGUAACUGACGCUGAGGCGCGAAAGCGUGGGGAGCAAACAG